Molecule: ribosomal RNA, 467 nt
Filed under: uncultured bacterium
Lineage: Bacteria
Description: partial 16S ribosomal RNA
Rfam family: Bacterial small subunit ribosomal RNA
Source: RNAcentral
GACGAACGCUGGCGGCGUGCUUAACACAUGCAAGUCGAACGGAAAGGCCCUGCUUUUGUGGGGUGCUCGAGUGGCGAACGGGUGAGUAACACGUGAGUAACCUGCCCUUGACUUUGGGAUAACUUCAGGAAACUGGGGCUAAUACCGGAUAGGAGCUCCUGCUGCAUGGUGGGGGUUGGAAAGUUUCGGCGGUUGGGGAUGGACUCGCGGCUUAUCAGCUUGGUGGUGGGGUAGUGGCUUACCAAGGCUUUGACGGGUAACCGGCCUGAGAGGGUGACCGGCCACAUUGGGACUGAGAUACGGCCCAGACUCCUACGGGAGGCAGCAGUGGGGAAUAUUGCACAAUGGGCGGAAGCCUGAUGCAGCAACGCCGCGUGCGGGAUGACGGCCUUCGGGUUGUAAACCGCUUUCGCCUGUGACGAAGCGUGAGUGACGGUAAUGGGUAAAGAAGCACCGGCUAACUACGU